This 228-nucleotide long non-coding RNA is filed under the name Elaeis guineensis (African oil palm). RNAcentral describes it as "long non-coding RNA (EGUI_LNC043007)". Lineage: Eukaryota; Viridiplantae; Streptophyta; Magnoliopsida; Arecales; Arecaceae. The record is from RNAcentral.
CAGCCACCAAUCCAGACUAUCCGUUGAUUUCUGUUUCAGUCACAUAUCUUAGCCACCAGCAUUGGAGUGGCCCUCAUCUUCACUUACCGAUCCAAAGCUUACUAGCCAGAAUAGAUCCAAUUUGAGAGUUCCAUGCCUCUUUUCAAAUUCAAAGUGGCCCACUAGCUUCGAAGCAAAUAAAGUAGGUAUAACUGUCAUAUCUCGAAACUCUGGGCCUCAAAUCUCUUC